CCGACUUUAGCUCAGUUGGAAGAGCGCGAGACUGUAAUGUGAUACCUGACCAUCUUGAGGUCGCCUGUUCGAGCCAGGCAAGUCGGA
Molecule: non-coding RNA, 87 nt
Organism: Crassisporium funariophilum
Lineage: Eukaryota; Fungi; Basidiomycota; Agaricomycetes; Agaricales; Crassisporiaceae
Source: the annotation of a GenBank genome assembly